Molecule: long non-coding RNA, 582 nt
Organism: Priapulus caudatus
Lineage: Eukaryota; Metazoa; Priapulida; Priapulimorpha; Priapulimorphida; Priapulidae
Exons: 3
Source: RefSeq, a predicted model, not a curated record
GAGCGAUGCAAGAAUGACGACGUGACGUCACACGGCGCGCGUAGACAGACAAGGAGAUACGGCGAUCGUUCGCGUUGGUACCCGCUGUUGCUGUUACCACAGGACUUAAAGUUUUGCAUCGUAGCGACUGUAAUUUUACGUGGACGAUGGAUACGUUGGACCGCGGUGCGAUAUAGCUGAACUUGUCGAGUCGCGUUAGAAAACAUCUCAGCUUCUACUAACAAUAAGAAACAAGUGCUUGGAUAUCACAAUUUGCCGCAGCGAGCUGCAUCGGGAAGAAGGUGGCGAGCGAACUACAGCGAGAUACGACUACCGGAUCCACACGCCUGCAGUAAGGGUCUAAGAAUGUGCGGGUACUCUCUAUACGAAGCCGAUUAACCGAUAAUUAACAUGCCCCGAGUGAUGAUGAUCUAGAGACUGAUGAGGCCUGCUGGCUGCAUGGCUGCCCCUGUAGCGUGAGGUUGUUCAGAGCUACAAUAAUGGACGUGAUGAUUGCACGAACGAACUGGAAGAGAUUAUUCGACGUCCUACUCGUGUUAGGUGCUUACAUCGUUCACUGCGCAGUUCACCCAGUGUCGGCAC